This 253-nucleotide ribosomal RNA is filed under the name uncultured bacterium. RNAcentral's name for it is "partial 16S ribosomal RNA". It matches the Rfam family "Bacterial small subunit ribosomal RNA", at positions 524 to 776 of the family's 1533-position model. The record is from RNAcentral.
CACGGGGGGAGCAAGCGUUGUUCGGAAUCACUGGGCGUAAAGGGCGUGCAGGCGGUCAGGUAAGUGGGAUGUGAAAUGCCCCGGCUCCCCCGGGGACCGGCAUCUCAUACUGCUUGGCUUGAGUACGGGAGAGGAUGUGGGAAUUCCUGGUGUAGCGGUGAAAUGCGUAGAUAUCAGGAGGAACACCGGUGGCGAAGGCGCACAUCUGGCCCGAUACUGACGCUGAGGCGCGAAAGCUAGGGGAGCAAACGGG